AAGUUCACACGGAUCUCUGGCUCUCGCAUCGAUGAAGAACCCAACGGAAUCCGAUAAGUAAGUGAAUUGCAGAAUUCAGUGAAUCAUCGAAUCUUGAACGCACCUGCGCUCCNUGUAUUCCUCGAGCAUGCCUGUUUGAGUAUCA
Molecule: ribosomal RNA, 145 nt
Filed under: uncultured fungus
Lineage: Eukaryota; Fungi
Description: partial 5.8S ribosomal RNA
Rfam family: 5.8S ribosomal RNA
About the family: 5.8S ribosomal RNA (5.8S rRNA) is a component of the large subunit of the eukaryotic ribosome.
Source: RNAcentral